UUCCUACCGAGUGCAACAGCAGCAAGUGCAGCAUCAUCGGUAAGUCAAACUUCUAGGGAUAAUUGCUUACUACCUACGCUAAGGUUUCUGGUGGCGCAUUGUCUCGUUUUAGAACUGUUCUAUUUUAUCCGAAAAUUGUUGUAACGCUGGUAAGCGAGUUUCAGCUCAGAAGUUAAUAUUUUGCAUCCAGCAAUUACAAACAUCCUAAAUCACUGUGGCCAGUGAUUAGCACCUACGGGUACGGGCUACUUGCCUUCAGUGUUGUUUACCCACGCCACCAAGAAUUGAAUGAAGAAAUAUCAAAAAUUUAGAACGCAUUCUCUUCUGUGCAAUCCAACCAGCUGAUAACCGGACCAACAAGGCUGGGGCCAGCACCUGUGCCUAACCAUGACAGCCAAGUUGGAAGCCCCUCUGCACUGAUAACCGGACCAACAAGGCCAGCACCUGUGCCUAACCGUGACAGCCAAGUUGGAAGCCCCUCUGCACUGACAACCGGACCAACAAGGCAAGCACCUGUUCCUAACCAUGACAGCCAAGUUGGAAGCCCCUCUGCAGCUCACUGCUGCAGGUGCUCUGCUCCUCGUGCAACUGUUGGC
Ixodes scapularis (black-legged tick) is the source of this 596-nucleotide long non-coding RNA. RefSeq lists it as uncharacterized. The transcript has 4 exons. The record is from RefSeq and is a predicted model, not a curated record. NCBI's taxonomy places the organism in Eukaryota, Metazoa, Arthropoda, Arachnida, Ixodida, Ixodidae.